This 649-nucleotide ribosomal RNA is filed under the name Sarcogyne sp. RNAcentral describes it as "SSU rRNA". It matches the Rfam family "Bacterial small subunit ribosomal RNA", at positions 399 to 1115 of the family's 1533-position model. RNAcentral also lists the same sequence under 1 other name. Lineage: Eukaryota; Fungi; Ascomycota; Lecanoromycetes; Acarosporales; Acarosporaceae. The record is from RNAcentral.
GCUAGUUGUAUUAACUUUUAGUUAAUACAAGAUCGACUAUGUCGACUAAAGUUCUAGGUAGAAUAAUGAUGAUGACAAUUUUCUACCUAUAUGUCUUGACCAAAUCUCGUGCCAGCAGUCGCGGUAAUACGUGGAAGACUAGUGUUAUUCAUCUUAAAUAGGUUUAAAGGGUACCUAGACGGUAUAUCUAGCCCAAAACAGGGUACGGAUUAACUAGAGUUUUAUGUGAGAAGGGGAGUACUCUUAGAGUAAAGAUGAAAUUUUAUGAUACUAUGAGGAAACUGGUGGCGGCGAAAGCAACCUUCUAUGUAUAAACUGACGUUGAGGGACGAAGGCUUGGGUAGCAAAUAGGAUUAGAUACCCUAGUAGUCCAAGCAGACAAUUCUGAAUGCCAUAGAUUAGAUUUUUUUGAUUUAUAAAUGAAAGUGUAAGCAUUCCACCUUAGGAGUAAUGUGGCAACACAGGAACUGAAAUCAUUAGACCGUUUCUGAAACCAGUAGUGAAGUAUGUUAUUUAAUUUGAUAGUCCUCAAAAAACCUUACCACAACUUGAAUGUUAUUUAAUUAAUACAAGCGUUGCACGGCUGUCUUCAGUUAAUGUCGUGAGAUUUUGGUUAACUCCUUAAAUUAACGUAAACCCAUACUUUAUU